Non-coding RNA from Nicotiana tabacum (common tobacco), 485 nucleotides. Lineage: Eukaryota; Viridiplantae; Streptophyta; Magnoliopsida; Solanales; Solanaceae. The record is from RefSeq and is a predicted model, not a curated record.
UUCAAAACGGCAACUGGUAACGCCAUUUUCAUCUAUUUGCCCUAAAAAUUUCAUCCUCCAAAUUCGGCACCUCAAACCCACGAUGUCUCACCACGAUAUCAACUCCUUACCCACGAACUCUUCUGCCCAGGAUUCCAGUAACAUGAUUUCACAUUUUUAUCAAAUCAGUUCUACUUUUACAGUAUAUAAUUAUGUUCUUUCUCCAUCGUGUGCAUAUCAAACAACAAUUCUAGAGUACAAGAGGACAUAAUGGCGGCUGAAAUCAAUUUUGUUACUGAAAUUAACAGCAAGUCAAUGAAUUGGAAGUUAAAGGUUCGUAUUGUCAGGCUUUGAAAAUAUUCGGAUCGCGAUAGGCCUGACAACCCUUUUUCAAUUGAGAUUGUUAUGAUGGAUGAAAAGGACGAUCACAUUCACACAAGUAUUGGCAGGUCUUUUAUCCAAAGGUUCAGACAAGAAAUUAAGGAAAUGGGUUUGUACAUCAUGAA